Long non-coding RNA from Peromyscus maniculatus bairdii (prairie deer mouse), 990 nucleotides. RefSeq lists it as uncharacterized. The record is from RefSeq and is a predicted model, not a curated record. NCBI's taxonomy places the organism in Eukaryota, Metazoa, Chordata, Mammalia, Rodentia, Cricetidae.
GCCAGGGUCUGGUCACAUUCAGUCACAUUUAAUCCAUUAGCUAAGGGGAGGGGGUGUCCUGGCUUCCAGGAGCUCAGAGUCUUCUGCAAGACAACAGAUGUGUGCGUUAAGGUCUUCAGGAAAGCGACACACGCAGCCAUGGCCUCCUGUGACAACAGCACCUCCUCUGGCUCUCUCCUGAAGGCCUGCCUGAGGCUGUUCCACAGUUAACUUGGCCUUUUAAAGAUGCCGUUCCCAGUCCUGCUAGGGGCCACUGUGUCUGGCAUACCUGUGGACCUCCCAGACCCACCUCCGCAUGUAUGAUGCACAGUCAAAGUGUAAUCAUACCGGCAGGAGUGAAGAUGCACUAAGGAAACACGUGGCCUCCUUUUUGUUACCAGACUGUCGAGACCAUGGCCCCCAGGAAAUUACAAUUCCCGAAGGAAUCUCACGCAGGGAGAAACAAGAGGCUGAAUCCUGAUGCCAGCCAGAGGCAAAGCCUGUCUCCAGGAAAGAGGUUUCGUACAGUUUCGGUACAGUUUCGGAAGCUCGUUUGGCCACCUUGAAGAAGAGACUGGAGCCCAUCAUUGGUGGGCCAGUGAUAGAUAGGGCUGUACCCCACCAGGAGCGCCUACUGGAUAAAUAAUUUUCCAAAUGACUCGCCUUUCUCUUUGCUUCACUAUUACUUUGUCUGUUGAAUUGGCCUAUUGCGCAUGGGUGGCCCAAGCUCUGGCCCUAACAAAAUAACCCCGAGUCUUCCAGGUCCAGCCCUCCCAAGUCCGCUUUCCUGCAUCUGGGUCAUCAUUAGUCCCUCCCUCUUCUCUGUGCCCACACUAUUUGUGGAACUUCAGUGUAGCCCUGACUCAUCUGCAUGUGUCUUCUCUCCAGCUGGUGGGCCCUGCCUCCUUGUGGGGGCUGUUUGCUGAGCCAGACUGAGACAGCAAGUAUCUGUGAGGUGCCAGGCGCAGGGCUAGGUAUGGGCUUCCUCAUACGCCUCCACUGAUGGGGAUA